This 290-nucleotide ribosomal RNA is filed under the name uncultured stramenopile. Its description in RNAcentral is "partial 18S ribosomal RNA". It matches the Rfam family "Eukaryotic small subunit ribosomal RNA", at positions 1543 to 1831 of the family's 1831-position model. The record is from RNAcentral.
UGGGUAAUCUUUGAACGUGAAUCGUGCUGGGGAUAGAUGAUUGCAAUUAUUCAUCUUCAACGAGGAAUUCCUAGUAAACGCAAGUCAUCAGCUUGCAUUGAUUACGUCCCUGCCCUUUGUACACACCGCCCGUCGCACCUACCGAUUGAAUGGUCCGGUGAAAUCUUCGGAUCUGAGAGAUGUUGGAUUAAUUUCUGACGCCUUUUGGAAAAGUCGCUUAAACCUUAUCAUUUAGAGGAAGGUGAAGUCGUAACAAGGUUUCCGUAGGUGAACCUGCGGAGGGAUCAUUA